GCCCUAUUGUGACCUGGAGGGCACAGCUGCAAUCAACAGAAACAACACAUUAAUGGCUGCAUAAUAACCCUCUUUAGAUCCUGCAAUGCAGAAGCUUCAUGCACUACGACACUGUUUCUAUAAUCCAAAUGCAGCAUGAUGGCAUGACAUUAUUCACCAAUUAGAAUAAGACUUGCACUAUUACCCAAGCUAGAAAUGUCAAAAUUAAGCCUAGUGU
RNAcentral lists this unclassified non-coding RNA (217 nucleotides) under Hevea brasiliensis (rubber tree). The record is from RNAcentral. Lineage: Eukaryota; Viridiplantae; Streptophyta; Magnoliopsida; Malpighiales; Euphorbiaceae.